Molecule: ribosomal RNA, 471 nt
Filed under: uncultured Anaerolineaceae bacterium
Lineage: Bacteria; Bacillati; Chloroflexota; Anaerolineae; Anaerolineales; Anaerolineaceae
Description: bacterial SSU rRNA
Rfam family: Bacterial small subunit ribosomal RNA
Source: RNAcentral
AAACUUAAAUGAAUUGACGGGUCCCGCACAAGCAGCGGAGCGUGUGGUUUAAUUCGUUGCUACACGAAGAACCUUACCUGGGUUUGACAUAGCAGUGGUAGGGAAGCGAAGGCGGACCGACCCUUCGGGGAGCUGUUACAGGUGUUGCAUGGCUGUCGUCAGCUCGUGUCGUGAGAUGUUCGGUUAAGUCCGCUAACGAGCGCAACCCGCGUUGUGUGUUACAAGUGUCACACAAUACCGCCGGUAUUAAGUCGGAGGAAGGUGCGGAUGACGUCAAGUCAGCAUGACCUUUAUGUCUGGGGCUACACACACGCUACAAUGGCCAGUACAAUAGGUUGCAAGACCGCGAGGUGGAGCCAAUCCUUAAAGCUGGUCUCAGUUCGGAUUGCAGGCUGCAACUCGCCUGCAUGAAGUCGGAGUUGCUAGUAACCGCGCGUCAGCCAUAGUGCGGUGAAUACGUUCCCGGGCCUU